This 119-nucleotide ribosomal RNA is filed under the name Sinocyclocheilus anshuiensis. Lineage: Eukaryota; Metazoa; Chordata; Actinopteri; Cypriniformes; Cyprinidae. The record is from RNAcentral.
GCUUACGGCCAUACCACACUGUCUGUGCCUGAUGUCGUCUGAUCUCGGAAGCUAUGCAGGGUCGGACCUGGUUAGUACUUGGGACUGAGACCGCAUGGGAAUACCAGGUGUUGUAAGCU